UAGAAAGUAAUAUAAGGGGAGUAUGGAGGGUUUUGAUCCCUCUAGUGCGGGUUCGAUUCCUGCCUUUCUAA
RNAcentral lists this transfer RNA (71 nucleotides) under Fringilla polatzeki (Gran Canaria teydefinch). RNAcentral's name for it is "tRNA-Gln". It matches the Rfam family "tRNA". From Rfam's summary of the family: Transfer RNA (tRNA) molecules are approximately 80 nucleotides in length. Lineage: Eukaryota; Metazoa; Chordata; Aves; Passeriformes; Fringillidae. The record is from RNAcentral.